AUUUUAGUUAAAUUUUGAAAAACUGUCACAUAUGAACCAAAAACUAUCUUAGUUUUUCACAAGUGAACAGGCCUUUAAAUUUUCUCAACCCAUAAGAUAAAGGACUCUAAGAAAUCCAUUUACAGGUCCAUCAUCACAUAACCAAAAUAUAGAGUUGAAAAAAUAGAGUUGCUUGUGUCAAAGCUCAAAAUCCAAACCAUCACACGUCCUAAAACUUCCAAUCCAAAAAACAAGUACAAGAGAUAAAGCUAAACCAAGCCUUAAAGAAUAAAGUCAUUUUACCUUGUAAAAAUUGGAGAACAUUGCUUACAAGUUACAAGAUAGCUAAUUCCUCAAAUAUGUUAGAUGCAAAAGGAGGUUUUAGUAAGU
Molecule: unclassified non-coding RNA, 369 nt
Filed under: Hevea brasiliensis (rubber tree)
Lineage: Eukaryota; Viridiplantae; Streptophyta; Magnoliopsida; Malpighiales; Euphorbiaceae
Source: RNAcentral